This 458-nucleotide ribosomal RNA is filed under the name uncultured bacterium. RNAcentral describes it as "partial 16S ribosomal RNA". It matches the Rfam family "Bacterial small subunit ribosomal RNA", at positions 338 to 795 of the family's 1533-position model. The record is from RNAcentral.
CCUACGGGUGGCAGCAGUGAGGAAUAUUGGUCAAUGGGCGAGAGCCUGAACCAGCCAAGUCGCGUGAGGGAGUACUGCCCUAUGGGUUGUAAACCUCUUUUGUCGGGGAGCAAAAGCCGGACGUGUCCGGCUGUGAGAGUACCCGAAGAAAAAGCAUCGGCUAACUCCGUGCCAGCAGCCGCGGUAAUACGGAGGAUGCGAGCGUUAUCCGGAUUUAUUGGGUUUAAAGGGUGCGCAGGCGGAUUGUUAAGUCAGCGGUAAAAUCGUGGGGCUCAACCCCAUCCAGCCGUUGAAACUGGGGAUCUAGAGUGUGCGAGAGGUAUGCGGAAUGCGUGGUGUAGCGGUGAAAUGCAUAGAUAUCACGCAGAACCCCGAUUGCGAAGGCAGCAUACCGGUGCACAACUGACGCUCAGGCACGAAAGCGUGGGUAUCGAACAGGAUUAGAUACCCCUGUAGUC